AUUUUGGAAGAGGAACUGCUGCCACCAAUUACAAGAAAACAACCCGGCAGACCACCAAGUAACGACCGUAAGAAGGGAUUCAACAAAAGAAAAAUACAAGAGGAGUAAAGUAACUUGUAGUAAAUGUGGUACAUCAGGACAUAACAAAAAGACUUGCCCUAAGUUUGCUUAUCAAACUUAACAAUGAUGUAUUAUUUUGCAAUUUUCUUGGUUGGUUUUUCUUUAUUCUUCUUCCAAAACUUCUGAAAUUUUUUAAGAAUGAUA
RNAcentral lists this long non-coding RNA (264 nucleotides) under Solanum tuberosum (potato). Its description in RNAcentral is "long non-coding RNA (STUB_LNC010802)". The record is from RNAcentral. Lineage: Eukaryota; Viridiplantae; Streptophyta; Magnoliopsida; Solanales; Solanaceae.